Molecule: long non-coding RNA, 173 nt
Filed under: Astyanax mexicanus (Mexican tetra)
Lineage: Eukaryota; Metazoa; Chordata; Actinopteri; Characiformes; Acestrorhamphidae
Description: lncRNA (ENSAMXG00005021339.1)
Source: RNAcentral
UCUCCAGAGAUUCUAAAUCGAGUGGCCAAAGUGAACGCAGCAAGGAAUUAAGACACAGAGUGAAUGAGAGCCCAUUACAAGCGGUAAAUUUUAUUAUGGGAUAACAGCACAUAAAGCACAUCUAAAAUCGAUGUGUCCAAUGCACUUUUAAUAAAGGUAAUAUUAAAGGUACA